UUCAUCGUGUUAUUCUUCUUGUUGUGCUGAUAAGAUGAUAAGGUCUCUUCUAUUACGUUAUUUAUAGUGUGGAGCUUGUUUUCAAGUCUCCGAUUAUUUUACUGUUACAUAGAGUAAGUCUCAGUUUGUUCGUUAUUGCGUCAAGUAUUUCUCCCGAGAGCGUAGCAGCACAAAAAUAUUGAUUGCGUUUUUAAGAAAAAAAUAAAAUAAAUCGAGUUUUUAAUUGGUAUUAUCCAGAUAAAUCAUCAUGUCAAAAUUUGUUAUUGCACUGUUAAUAUUUUCAAUUGCGGCGCAUUGCUUUGUUUCCAUAGAAUCUCGCAGUUGGGGUAUUCCAAAUAUUUGUUUACAACCACCUCCCAGAUCUGAGGGUAUUUGCACGAUUGAGAUUGAAGGAUAUUAUUUUGAUGCUCAAAAGAAUAACUGUGAGAAGUAUACUGUGGGAGGCUGUCGUCUAUCGGGUGGUCAAAGCUUUGGUUCGCUCCAAGAUUGUUUAGCAACAUGCGUUCAUGCUACCAGACGUAUUCAAGACAUAAGACAGGAGUAAAAUUUAAAAUGCUACGAAUUAAUAUAAUUAAAUAAUAAAAGAAAUAAUGUUAAACAAAA
Molecule: long non-coding RNA, 603 nt
Organism: Calliphora vicina (urban bluebottle blowfly)
Lineage: Eukaryota; Metazoa; Arthropoda; Insecta; Diptera; Calliphoridae
Exons: 2
Source: RefSeq, a predicted model, not a curated record